This 439-nucleotide ribosomal RNA is filed under the name Sporormiella sp. NO454. RNAcentral's name for it is "eukaryotic LSU rRNA". The stretch from base 107 to 260 matches the Rfam family "5.8S ribosomal RNA". The record is from RNAcentral. Lineage: Eukaryota; Fungi; Ascomycota; Dothideomycetes; Pleosporales; Sporormiaceae.
CCUUUUUAAGUACCUUUCGUUUCCUCGGCAGGCUCGCCUGCCGAUGGACCCCCCAAAAAACACUUUGCAGUACCUGUAAUAGUCUGAACAACAAACAAAAAAUUAAAACUUUCAACAACGGAUCUCUUGGUUCUGGCAUCGAUGAAGAACGCAGCGAAAUGCGAUAAGUAGUGUGAAUUGCAGAAUUCAGUGAAUCAUCGAAUCUUUGAACGCACAUUGCGCCCUUUGGUAUUCCUUAGGGCAUGCCUGUUCGAGCGUCAUUUAAACCUUCAAGCUCAGCUUGGUGUUGGGUGACUGUCCGCUGCCCUCGGGUGCGGACUCGCCUCAAAAUCAUUGGCGGCCGGUACAUUGGCUUCGAGCGCAGCAGAAACGCGAACUCGAGCCCGUCGUAUUGGCUCCCAGAAGCUAUCUUCAUAAUUUUGACCUCGGAUCAGGUAGG